This 250-nucleotide ribosomal RNA is filed under the name uncultured bacterium. RNAcentral describes it as "partial 16S ribosomal RNA". It matches the Rfam family "Bacterial small subunit ribosomal RNA", at positions 524 to 773 of the family's 1533-position model. The record is from RNAcentral.
UACAGAGGGUGCGAGCGUUAAUCGGAGUUACUGGGCGUAAAGGGCGCGUAGGCGGUUAUGUAAGUGUGAUGUGAAAGCCCCGGGCUUAACCUGGGAAGUGCAUUGCAAACUGUAUAGCUAGAGUAGAUGAGAGGGUGGCGGAAUUUCCGGUGUAGCGGUGAAAUGCGUAGAGAUCGGAAGGAACGUCAAUGGCGAAGGCAGCCACCUGGCAUCAUACUGACGCUGAGGCGCGAAAGCGUGGGGAGCGAAC